GAUGAACGCUGGCGGCGUGCCUAAUACAUGCGAGUCGAGCGAACAGACGAGGAGCUUGCUCCUCUGACGUUAGCGGCGGACGGGUGAGUAACACGUGGAUAACCUACCUAUAAGACUGGGAUAACUUCGGGAAACCGGAGCUAAUACCGGAUAAUAUAUUGAACCGCAUGGUUCAAUAGUGAAAGACGGUUUUGCUGUCACUUAUAGAUGGAUCCGCGCCGCAUUAGCUAGUUGGUAAGGUAACGGCUUACCAAGGCAACGAUGCGUAGCCGACCUGAGAGGGUGAUCGGCCACACUGGAACUGGGACACGGUCCAGACUCCUACGGGAGGCAGCAGUAGGGAAUCUUCCGCAAUGGGCGAAAGCCUGACGGAGCAACGCCGCGUGAGUGAUGAAGGUCUUCGGAUCGUAAAACUCUGUUAUUAGGGAAGAACAACUGUGUAAGUAACUAUGCACGUCUUGACGGUACCUAAUCAGAAAGCCACGGCUAACUACGUG
RNAcentral lists this ribosomal RNA (497 nucleotides) under uncultured bacterium. RNAcentral's name for it is "partial 16S ribosomal RNA". It matches the Rfam family "Bacterial small subunit ribosomal RNA", at positions 28 to 507 of the family's 1533-position model. The record is from RNAcentral.